Molecule: transfer RNA, 76 nt
Filed under: Chloroflexota bacterium
Lineage: Bacteria; Bacillati; Chloroflexota
Also listed under: 1 other name
Description: Chloroflexi bacterium tRNA-Phe
Rfam family: tRNA
About the family: Transfer RNA (tRNA) molecules are approximately 80 nucleotides in length. Their secondary structure includes four short double-helical elements and three loops (D, anti-codon, and T loops).
Source: RNAcentral
GCCGAGAUAGCUCAGCCGGUAGAGCACAGCACUGAAAAUGCUGGUGUCCCCAGUUCGAUCCUGGGUCUCGGCACCA